UGUGUAUAUUCUGUUUUCCUACUUCCUCAGUCAUUCCACUUCAUGAUCACCCUGGCCUGACUGUUUUUAGCAAAGUUCUGUAUGGUUCUUUGCAUGUGAGAGCUUACGAUUGGGUGGAGCCUUCCCACGAAAGCAAGGGAUCAAAUUACUUUCCAGGAGAUGAGAUGACUCGAAUUUUCUGGAAAUCAAUCAAGGAUAAGCUUAUUCUCCCCUUUUUGGAUUUGGACAUUAAGUACUUUGACCUUGGUCUUCCUCACCGUGAUACCACUGAUGAUAAAGUUACCGUUGAAAGUGCAGAGGCUACUCUUAAGAGGAUUAGAAUGGGGCUGCUCCAGCUAGAAGUGUUCUGGUGUGGAUCCUAAUAUAUAUUUGAAAGUAUGCUUAGGCAGCAGCUGUGGUUGAUAGUCUGGCCAUCUUUUAGAAGUGAAGGUGCUGCAGUGCUGUUGUUUUGGCUUACUCUUGAUUGCUGCUUGGUUAUAAAUGAUGGGUUUCAUAUUGUAAUUUGAUAUUUUUCGGUGCAUAAUAAUUGCUA
Rosa rugosa (rugosa rose) is the source of this 532-nucleotide long non-coding RNA. RefSeq lists it as uncharacterized. The transcript has 4 exons. The record is from RefSeq and is a predicted model, not a curated record. NCBI's taxonomy places the organism in Eukaryota, Viridiplantae, Streptophyta, Magnoliopsida, Rosales, Rosaceae.